RNAcentral lists this long non-coding RNA (1800 nucleotides) under Anas platyrhynchos platyrhynchos (common mallard). RNAcentral's name for it is "lncRNA (ENSAPLG00000026875.1)". The record is from RNAcentral. Lineage: Eukaryota; Metazoa; Chordata; Aves; Anseriformes; Anatidae.
CAGAUUUGGCUGAGGAAAGUGUAUUAUUUGUUUCAGAUCACCAUUUCAAAUUUGCAUUGAGCUGAAAGGAUCAAUAAUAAAUUCCAGCUCAAAUUAUGAAUCUUCUGAUGCUUUUCUAAAUGAAAUCCACUGUUGUGUCAGGAAUAUUUUUAUCCCUCUGACACAGAAAUCAUGUUUUGCAGAAGCCUCGGCUGCAGAAAUAAUGCGUUAUUAUACAAGAACAGAGAAGGACAAGUUAUUUUAAAGAUAGUGAGAAAUAUCCUCCCAUGGUGUGUUUAACACUCAUCGACAGAGUAAGAAGCUAUUCUGUUGACGACAGUGUGACCAGAAUUUUACCCAACAUCGUUACUCUUACUGCAAUCAAUAUAUUCCAGGAAUCACUGGGCUAUUACUCAGUGUGUGAUGUUGUCUUUGCUGCCAAGAUUUUAUCUCAGAAGACACACAGAUGGCAUGUUUCUGCAUAUAAACACAAAGUAAAAAGUGCUGGAGCAGCGUGAAACAUGCUCCUCCUGCAACAAAUCCUGCAAACAGGACUCUGACUCAGCCAACAUGGACUCUCCUUUGCAGGAUCAGGGCAUGAUUCUAGACCAGGUGAAAUGUAUAUUUCAUGAAAUUCUGGCCCACCAUUUAUUUUAUUUUUGGGGCGCCUGCAUGUCGCUUGGCUGCUCUGAAGCACAAAACACACUCCGGAAAUGCUCUGCCAUCUUCUGUGUCUGCAGUGAGGACAUUGUGGAAACACAACUGCGUUUUCCUUAUGACAGAAGUUGUGAAUAGCUUGGGUUGCCUGUCUUUGGUUGGUUCAUAGUGAUAUUUAUUCAAGUGCAGGAGAACAGAACAUUUCACAAUUUGCUAUUUUCAGCCUGAUGAAAUCAUGUGCCUGCCAUAGUUGUGUGUUCUGUCUGUUUUCCUAAUUCUCAAUGUUGCGUGAGAAUUGCAUUUUAUGGAUGUCUGGUUGCUAAUAGGUGGAUGAAAUCUGAAAUCCGUGAUGAAUGUUUACUCAAUACAACAAGUUCAAGAUUGUGAUUAAAACUCCAAAGGCCUGGUUGAGGCUUUGCACUUUAAUAUCACACUUUUUUGAGCUUUACAGCUUUUUUAAAGAGAGGGAUCUUGUGAGGCACUGAAAACUGAUCUUGAUGAUGAUAACUUGAGUUAGAGAAAUAAGCCCUUAUAUUUUCUUGUCCAGAAUGACAGGCCAUCACUCCUGGGGAAGAAGUGACUUGCUGCUUUGUUACUUUGUUCUAACAAUAAUUCACAUUUCUGUAACCCAGAGGAACACCAAAAUGCUCUCCAGCAUGCACAUAUUUCAUUUAUUUCUGUAAGCUGAAGAAAGCAACUAUUUUAUAGCGACAAAACUAGAAAUAGGAUUGAAAAAGGCAAUAUGGCCAUAGAAAAUUUAUUAGCCAGUAAAUGUAAUUCCCUAAAUUGGGAGUUAUCCGAGGGGCAGUGGCAUUUCUGCUUGUGAGUGGACAGGGCUUAAUUUCAUAAUACAAUGCCUGUUGCACUUUUUUUUGCUGUUAUUUAAUCUUAUCUUUCCUUUCCAUGGAGUCACUGGAAAAUAGUAAAAUAUAAAGACAAAAAACAAAGUUCUAUUUAAAAUUACUGUUAGUGAUUGAGCUGAGUGGUGCAGUUGAUACAACAGAAAGAAGGGAUGCCAUCCAAAGGGACCUGGACAGGCUGGAAAAGUGGGCCCACAUGAACCUCAUGAGGUUCAACAAGUCCAAGUGCAAGGUGCUGCACCUGGGUCAGGGCAAUCCCAGACAUGAGCACAGACUGGGAGAAUAAAUUGAGAGCAGCCCUGCA